GUUAAGUUCGGCGUGUGGGGAGCACGGRCGCGAGACUGAAACUCAAAGGAAUUGACGGGCGCCCGCACACGCGGKGGRRUAUGUGGUUAAAUUCGAUGCCRCGCRAAAAAUCUUACCUGGUUUUGACAUGUYGAGAACUUUCCAGAKAUGGWKGGGUGCCUUCUGAACUCGRACACMGGUGCUGCAUGGMUGUCGUCASCUCGUGUCGYGAGAUGUUGGGKUAAGUCCCGCAACGAGCGCAACCCUUGUCCUUAUUUGCSCCAGCAAGUAAUGGUGGGAMCUYUAAAGAAACCGCCGGUGACAAACCGGAGGAAGGUGGGGAUGACGUCAAGUCAUCAUGGCCCUUACGGCCAGGGCUACACACGUUCUACAAUGGUAGGGACAGAGGGCUGCAAGCCGGCGACGGUAAGCCAAUCCCAGAAACCCUAUUCCARUCGCGGAUUGGAGUCUGCCACUCGACUCCAUGAAAUCGGAAUCGCUAGUAAUCGCAGAUCAGCAU
This 499-nucleotide ribosomal RNA is filed under the name uncultured Stenotrophomonas sp. RNAcentral's name for it is "partial 16S ribosomal RNA". The record is from RNAcentral. Lineage: Bacteria; Pseudomonadati; Pseudomonadota; Gammaproteobacteria; Lysobacterales; Lysobacteraceae.